This 320-nucleotide ribosomal RNA is filed under the name uncultured Prevotella sp. Its description in RNAcentral is "bacterial SSU rRNA". It matches the Rfam family "Bacterial small subunit ribosomal RNA", at positions 28 to 339 of the family's 1533-position model. The record is from RNAcentral. Lineage: Bacteria; Pseudomonadati; Bacteroidota; Bacteroidia; Bacteroidales; Prevotellaceae.
GAUGAACGCUAGCUACAGGCUUAACACAUGCAAGUCGAGGGGCAGCAUGGAGUCAGCUUGCUGACUUUGAUGGCGACCGGCGCACGGGUGAGUAACGCGUAUCCAACCUUCCCCAUAGUAGAGAAUAGCCCGGCGAAAGUCGGAUUAAUGCUCUAUGUUGUAUUUCGAUGACAUCUGAAGAAUACCAAAGGUUCACCGCUAUGGGAUGGGGAUGCGUCUGAUUAGGUUGUUGGCGGGGUAACGGCCCACCAAGCCUGCGAUCAGUAGCCGGACUGAGAGGUUGAACGGCCACAUUGGGACUGAGACACGGCCCAGACUCC